GAUGAACGCUGGCGGCGUGCCUAAUACAUGCAAGUCGAGCGAACGGACGAGAAGCUUGCUUUUCUGAUGUUAGCGGCGCACGGGUGAGUAACACGUGGAUACCCUACCUAUAAGACUGGGAUAACUUCGGGAAACCGGAGCUAAUACCGGAUAAUAUUUUGAACCGCAUGGUUCAAAAGUGAAAGACGGUCUUGCUGUCUCUUAUAGAUGGAUCCGCGCUGCAUUAGCUAGUUGGUAAGGUAACGGCUUACCAAGGCAACGAUGCAUAGCCGACCUGAGAGGGUGAUCGGCCACACUGGAACGUGGCCACGGUCCAGACUCCUACGGGAGGCAGCAGUAGGGAAUCUUCCGCAAAGGGCGAAAGCCUGACGGAGCAACGCCGCGUGAGUGAUGAAGGUCUUCGGAUCGUAAAACUGUGUUAUUAGGGAAGAACAUAUGUGUAAGUAACUGUGCACAUCUUGACGGUACCUAAUCAGAAAGCCACGGCUAACUACGUG
RNAcentral lists this ribosomal RNA (497 nucleotides) under uncultured bacterium. RNAcentral's name for it is "partial 16S ribosomal RNA". It matches the Rfam family "Bacterial small subunit ribosomal RNA", at positions 28 to 507 of the family's 1533-position model. The record is from RNAcentral.